RNAcentral lists this ribosomal RNA (253 nucleotides) under uncultured bacterium. Its description in RNAcentral is "partial 16S ribosomal RNA". It matches the Rfam family "Bacterial small subunit ribosomal RNA", at positions 524 to 776 of the family's 1533-position model. The record is from RNAcentral.
UACAGAGGGUGCGAGCGUUAAUCGGAAUUACUGGGCGUAAAGCGUGCGUAGACGGUUAUGUAAGUCGGAUGUGAAAGCCCCGGGCUCAACCUGGGAAUUGCAUUCGAGACUGCAUAGCUAGGAUGCGGAAGAGGAGUGUGGAAUUCCCGGUGUAGCGGUGAAAUGCGCAGAUAUCGGGAAGAACACCCGUGGCGAAGGCGGCACUCUGGGACGGUACUGACGCUGAGACGCGAAAGCGUGGGGAGCGAACAGG